UGAAUGAGGGUUCCCCUCCAGCACUACCAGAGGUGAUUGAGUCAUUACCAACAGUUAAACUGACUCUGGAAAAAGUGGCUCUUAAGUUAUGCUGUCCAACAUGUCAGUGCCAGUUUGAAGAGGGUGAGGCAUUUAUGGAGUUGCCGUGCACACAUGGAUUCCACCCUUCCUGCGUAACAACUUGGCUAAAAAUGGCACUAGUCAGGAUCGGAGUUUAAAAAAGCAAGUUUGAAAAAGAAAGCAGCACGUUUUAAUUAAAUCUUUUUUGAUGCAGGGUUCCAGAUAAGUUUUCAAGGCAAGUUGUCAACAAGGAAUUCCAACAGGUCAAUUCCCACUGCUCCCACCAAACAUUAUAAAUAUCAUAUUAAUUUUCAAGUCAUGUAGCUGAUCUUGCUUGGUUUUUUUAUCCAAGACCCCUCGCUUGUCUGGAACACUGAUGGACUUUACUGUCGUCAGCUUUGACUGUAUUUGAAAAGCUAUUUGAAUUUUUUACAAAUUAAUGAACAAAUGAGCUAACUGGUGAUGAAAGAAUAGGACUGAGCAGUUUGCAAUUUCUGUAAUGCUGAGCAAUUGUGCUUGGUCAAUGUAGAACAUAAUACUUGAAGUAGCUUAAACAGGAAGUUCUGCUGUAAAAGGGAUGGUAGUUCCCAAAUUGAACACCUUUGGGCAUGUAAUGCAAAUUUAAACCUUUGUUAGUGCUAGCCCGUUCUUGACUCGAGCAUUUGCUUCAAUGAACCUUCUAAAAACCAAAUUACUGUAUGAUCACCUACAAUUUUCCUUGAACAAGAACUAAGUCCCAACAUGAAGCUCGUUUUAAGCCACUGAAGGGGUGAAUGGCGGAACUUCCUCGUUAAAGAUCUUGUAAAAAGUUAUUUCAUAGAAGAAGAAGUUACAUUAUGGCGGGAAUACAGUCGAACCUCCAUUAAGCAGUCAGUUACCAAAUUCUCGAAAGCCGCUCCACAUUCUUACUGUAAACUUGCCCUCUGUUAAGUGGCCACCCUCUAUUAAACGGACGCGGUCACCGUUUAGAAUUCCCAGUUUGAUAAUUUUUUCUAUUUCACCUCUAUUUAACGGUCACCUAGUGAAAUUUCAGUGCGAUAUUGUGACUUGCCUCGCGAAAUUAAACUAGGCGACCCUAAAAAACAGACAAUUCCAACCUUUUUUUGUUUCAUCUUGAAUGUUAUGGCAAACUGUUGAUGAUGUUACUGACAACAUAUCAUAUUUGGCGAUAUUGUUGUUAUGGACCUAUUUUGCAUUCUGUUCAAUUUUUGCCAUACUACAUGCUAUAUUUUAGAAAAAGUCGUCAGCUGGCUAUUUCCCGAGGGUGACCGCUUCAUUAAUAGAGGUUUGACUGUAAUUAUCUUUGUCUAACAUAACAUUGUACUUGGAAUUGAUUGUGAUUAGUUUUAAAUUUUUUACUGUAUUUUACCUUAGUUACUGAGGACCUCCCUGAAAACCCCGCAAUGUGACAGCAGCUUCGAUUCCACCAUAAAGAUUAUAAUUAUUAUUAUUAUCGUCAUCGUCGUCGUCGUCGUUAUUGUUAUUAUUAUUAUUGUUAUUGUUACUGUCAGCACAAUGAAAGACUUAACUUAUGGCUACUCUUCAUGACGAUGUUUUCGUUUCACAAGUUUCUCCAUUCUUAAACGUCUUUCUUGAUCAAUCGAACUUAUUAGAGCGAUUUUCAUUUGAUCUUAAAGGAGCUCAGUCACGGUAUUUUGAGUUAUUCUGGCCACAUACAAAAUUACC
Orbicella faveolata is the source of this 1746-nucleotide long non-coding RNA. NCBI's taxonomy places the organism in Eukaryota, Metazoa, Cnidaria, Anthozoa, Scleractinia, Merulinidae. The record is from RefSeq and is a predicted model, not a curated record.